RNAcentral lists this transfer RNA (62 nucleotides) under Pyrocoelia rufa. RNAcentral describes it as "tRNA-Phe". The record is from RNAcentral. Lineage: Eukaryota; Metazoa; Arthropoda; Insecta; Coleoptera; Lampyridae.
AUUCUAAUAGCUUAUUUAGAGCAUGAUAUUGAAGAUAUUAGGGAAAUUUUUAUUUUAGAAUA